CAGUAACGGCGAGUGAAGCGGGAAGAGCUCAAAUUUGAAAUCUCCGAUGCCUGCAUCGGCGAGUUGUAGUUGCGAGAAGCACUUUCUAGGUGGAUCGGCGGUGCCUAAGUUGCUUGGAACAGCAGGUCGCAGAGGGUGACAACCCCGUCUGUGGCGCCGCCGGCCGCUGACGAUGUGCUUUCGAAGAGUCGGGUUGUUUGGGAAUGCAGCCCAAAAUGGGUGGUAAACUCCAUCUAAAGCUAAAUACUGGCGUGAGACCGAUAGCGAACAAGUACCGUGAGGGAAAGAUGAAAAGAACUUUGAAAAGAGAGUUAAAAAGUACGUGAACCGUUGAAAUGGAAACGAAUGGGCUCAGCAAUGCCCCGUUUGAGAUUCAACCGGUGGGUGGGAUCGACGGCGGGUUUGCGGAUCUGAAUGGACCGCGGCCCGGUGCUCGUUUCUCCCCACCGUCGCACUUCUCUUGGGCGCGCGUCAACGUCGGUUGGGACUGGGUCUGAAAGGUGCCGGGAAGGUAGGUGUGGGCCUCCGGGUCCGUNCUGUUACAGCCUGGUUCUCUCAUGGCUCGGGCCCGACCGAGGAGUUGCAGGGCAUGCCUCCUGUGGCUAGGGUCCCCUCCCUCCGGCCGGCUGUCCAAUGCGGUGGACUGCUUCCAGUGCUCGGCGAACGCUGCCGGUCGUUGGGGUGGUGAUCUCGUACCAUNCCCUUAGGAUGUUGGCGGUCAUAUGG
RNAcentral lists this ribosomal RNA (726 nucleotides) under Orbicella faveolata. RNAcentral's name for it is "LSU rRNA". It matches the Rfam family "Eukaryotic large subunit ribosomal RNA", at positions 81 to 634 of the family's 3401-position model. Lineage: Eukaryota; Metazoa; Cnidaria; Anthozoa; Scleractinia; Merulinidae. The record is from RNAcentral.